CGUCUAUAUACGUAUAGCAUAUCAAUAAGCGGAGGAAAAGAAACUAACAAGGAUUCCCUUAGUAACGGCGAGUGGAGCGGGAAGAGCUCAAAUUUGAAAUCUUCAAGGUUCUACCUUGACGAAUUGUAGUUUAAAGAAGUGUUUUCUGUUAGAGGAGUAGCAAAAGUUCCUUGGAAUAGGGACAUCAUAGAGGGUGAGAAUCCCGUAUUUGGUUACUUCUUUCUAGCUGUGUGAUACACUUUCAAAGAGUCGGAUUGUUUGGGAAUGCAGUCCAAAAUGGGUGGUAAAUUUCAUCUAAAGCUAAAUAUUGGCGAGAGACCGAUAGCGAACAAGUACCGUGAGGGAAAGAUGAAAAGAACUUUGAAAAGAGAGUUAAACAGUACGUGAAAUUGUCAAAAGGGAAGCGUUUGACACCAGUGUUGUUUUUCCGAAAAUCAAUUAAGAGUGGCUUGAUUUUGUGUUGUAUUGACCUUAUCAGCUUUCUUCACUCUUUUUCGAGUCUUUCUUAAUGCACUUUUCGGUUAACAAGUCAACAUCAAUUUCUUUUGUUGUAAAAGGGUAUUUGGAAGGUGGCUUUCUUUUCGGAGAAAGUGUUUAUAGCCUUAUACCUCUACAAUCGGAGAGAUUGAGGUCUGCAGCGUAGAUCCUCGGGGCUAGAUACACUUGUGCUAAGUUAUAGCUUUUCAUAGACAACUUGUUGACUAUGUUUAGUCAUGUAGCUUACUCGCUUAUGCUAUUUUACCUACGCUUAGGAUGUUGAGUCAUCACACAUCUCU
RNAcentral lists this ribosomal RNA (776 nucleotides) under uncultured Neocallimastigales. Its description in RNAcentral is "partial large subunit ribosomal RNA". It matches the Rfam family "Eukaryotic large subunit ribosomal RNA", at positions 26 to 614 of the family's 3401-position model. The record is from RNAcentral. Lineage: Eukaryota; Fungi; Neocallimastigomycota; Neocallimastigomycetes; Neocallimastigales.